This is a long non-coding RNA of Equus caballus (horse), 445 nucleotides long. RefSeq lists it as uncharacterized. Lineage: Eukaryota; Metazoa; Chordata; Mammalia; Perissodactyla; Equidae. The record is from RefSeq and is a predicted model, not a curated record.
UUCAUCAUUUUUUGACCAACAGUUUGCCAGUCAGUGUCAGUGCUGACAAGUUCCCUGUGGAGUGCUCUCAGACUCUCCAUCAGAAAAUGCUCAAAGAUCAAUCUUUAAAGAGCAGAUGUGCUUUACCCACACCACGGAGCACGGUAGCUUUUUUCCUACUCCCUUGGCUGUGGAUAUUCUAAGGACCUCAAGGCAGAUGUGGUCUUUCACCCUCACCCAGGAAAUCUUAGAACUGUCCAAGGUGUUCUCUCUCAGGAAGGAGCUUGAAGCUGGAGAAAAAUCUGUCUGAUGGAGCUUGUCAUCAUCUUCAGUACCGGAAUCAGCUCGCAGUCUAUUCCACUCAACUUCAACACAACUGGAAAUCUGUUAGCACUGACUCUCUGUGGUCCUCCAACCUCAACCACACAUCUGAGAUGGAUUAAAUAAAUGCCAUGUGCCAACUCUA